UGGGCAACCUGCCCCUCUCUCUGGGAUAACCCCGGGAAACCGGAGCUAAUACCGGAUACUCCGGCUGGAUCGCAUGGUCCGGCCGGGAAAGGUCCGCCGGAGAGGGAUGGGCCCGCGGCCUAUCAGCUUGUUGGUGGGGUCAUGGCUCACCAAGGCGACGACGGGUAGCUGGUCUGAGAGGACGACCAGCCACACUGGAACUGAGAUACGGUCCAGACCUCCUACGGGAGGCA
This 233-nucleotide ribosomal RNA is filed under the name uncultured bacterium. Its description in RNAcentral is "partial 16S ribosomal RNA". It matches the Rfam family "Bacterial small subunit ribosomal RNA", at positions 118 to 350 of the family's 1533-position model. The record is from RNAcentral.